RNAcentral lists this long non-coding RNA (332 nucleotides) under Ananas comosus (pineapple). Its description in RNAcentral is "long non-coding RNA (ACOM_LNC007133)". Lineage: Eukaryota; Viridiplantae; Streptophyta; Magnoliopsida; Poales; Bromeliaceae. The record is from RNAcentral.
AUUAACAAGAUUGAAACAUUAUUCUCGAUACAACAGGAUCGAAAAUUCGCUAUGCUCGUAAUCAUCACCCAGUGUCGGUUCAAAAUAUUACAAUCUUAUUAAUUUUCUAUUAAUUUUGAAACUUAUCCAAAAGUUGGAACUCAUCCAUUUUGACAGAACACAUUCUUUUCUUUUAAAAACAAUUAUUUAUAUAUUUUGAGAACUUAUCUCAUAAUAUCAUCACACAGAUACAAAAAAAAUACUUAUGCCAAAAUUUAAUUUGAAAAACGUCGAUGCUACGCAAAACACAUUCCUUUACACGGCCUUAAUUAUUACAUCACCUUUUGCAUAGU